AGAACUUUGGGUUCACAAGUUUCCCCUUUUCAAUUAGUAGAUGAAUAAAAAAUGUAUAGCAUGGUUUUAUUUUUGACUGCACGUUUUUAAUUAAAAUCUCUUAUCUUUUUUUUUUCCCCCUUUCUGAUAAGUCUCACAUAUACUGAACCCACACUCACACCAUUAUAUACAGUCCUUCCAGCUCCAGUGCUUGCACUAAUCCCCUCUGGAUUUGGUGGAACAACUGCAUUACAGGCAUCUACAGCUCUGAUAAUCACCAGCAAGUGGGGAUGCUGGCUCAAAGAUGCAAGGUCACUUGAACACCACUCUUCAAUACCCUGCAGCACUCCUUCCCAAGUCAUAACUUAGGAUCUCUGGAUCACACCCAAAGUAAGAGCACACUGGUCAAACAUAUCAAGUGCCUCUUGUUAGAAGUUAUCACUUUAGAAAUGAAUUUGCAAGCUGCAGCAUUGAAGCCCUUGGAUCGGCUCGUGAGCUCCUAACCUCGACGUCUGGCCUUUGAGCAGAACUUGAGAGAGGCGGGGGUGGAAUGAGAGAGAGAAGGAGAGAGAGAGAGACCAAAAGGAUGAAGAAGAAAAGCAAAAUAAAUCAAAAGCAGCUUUCUUGGUAACA
Molecule: long non-coding RNA, 612 nt
Filed under: Phasianus colchicus (ring-necked pheasant)
Lineage: Eukaryota; Metazoa; Chordata; Aves; Galliformes; Phasianidae
Description: lncRNA (ENSPCLG00000004955.1)
Source: RNAcentral